Molecule: ribosomal RNA, 253 nt
Filed under: uncultured bacterium
Lineage: Bacteria
Description: partial 16S ribosomal RNA
Rfam family: Bacterial small subunit ribosomal RNA
Source: RNAcentral
UACGUAGGGUGCAAGCGUUGUCCGGAAUCACUGGGCGUAAAGGGCGCGUAGGCGGCUCAUGAAGGCUGUGGUGAAAGUCCGGGGCUCAACCUCGGAUCGGCCGUGGCGACUCGUGGGCUGGAGCACUGUAGAGGCGGGUGGAAUUCCGGGUGUAGCGGUGGAAUGCGUAGAGAUCCGGAAGAACACCAGUGGCGAAGGCGGCCCGCUGGGCAGUGGCUGACGCUGAGGCGCGACAGCGUGGGGAGCAAGCAGG